UGAUAUUGUAUGAACAGAAACCAGCAGGACAAACUUAACUAAAAUCAACUUUUGUGUUCAGGAAAAAAUAAAAAAUACCCCAAGGAUUGAACAGUGAGGGACCCCAAUCCCCCAGCAGCGACCUGGAGUAAAGAGCGUUGCUGAAGGACACAGCGGUGGUGACGACUGCGGAGAUCGAACCAGCAACCUUCUGCUGACCAGUGCAGUGCUUUAGCCCACUACACCACAAAAUCGUACUCAUGGAGAGCAGGCACACAAAUGUUUGGAGCAGACACAGCAGCAGCCAGAUUGUCCCGCACGUGUUCACCUGCUCUUGCUUCAAGAUUGUGUGGU
Long non-coding RNA from Sinocyclocheilus grahami, 333 nucleotides. RefSeq lists it as uncharacterized. The record is from RefSeq and is a predicted model, not a curated record. NCBI's taxonomy places the organism in Eukaryota, Metazoa, Chordata, Actinopteri, Cypriniformes, Cyprinidae. The transcript has 3 exons.